UCCUUGGUCAAUUGUAGAUAAC
RNAcentral lists this non-coding RNA (22 nucleotides) under Arabidopsis thaliana (thale cress). Lineage: Eukaryota; Viridiplantae; Streptophyta; Magnoliopsida; Brassicales; Brassicaceae. The record is from RNAcentral.